Molecule: long non-coding RNA, 1898 nt
Filed under: Homo sapiens (human)
Lineage: Eukaryota; Metazoa; Chordata; Mammalia; Primates; Hominidae
Description: HSALNT0016176
Source: RNAcentral
UUUUCUUAAUUUUUAUUAGUAUUUCAUAUUUCUUCAUUUUUCAAGGUUUCCUAGUUCUCUGGGUCACUGUCCCCUGGGCAGGCUAGAGUUGAUUAGUGUUGUUCUUACUAGGUGGGGGCCCCUAGAUCUGAACACCGUUUCCACUGUCAUCUGACCAGUCCAUAUCCUCAUUUGAAUAAUGUGCUUCUAGCGAUGCAGACUAACUGUAAUUAUGAAAAUAGUUAACCCUUAUUGAAUUUGUUUAUGUACCAGGCCCUGUGCCAAGCGCUUUCUGGAAGAACCACAUGUGAAAGGUAUUUUUGUAUCUUUUUUUGUACAUGAAUCAUUGGAAGCUUAAAGAAGUUGGUUAACUUGGCCAAGGACACAGUGAUCCAAGCCCAGGGCACUUGGCCAUGAGGAUGUAUUAUAUUUCCUUCCCUUUGCACCCACCUAUGACACACGUCUGACCAUUUAAGCCUUUGGCUUCAGCAAGAUGGAAAGCAAUUUGUCUUCUCCUAAAGAUCAAAGCCUGCUCUGACCCUGUGGGAAAUACACUUACCAUUUACCCAGACAAUUACUUUCCCCAGGUUCCAGGAGGUGCCAAAUCUCCCCUUUUUCUCCUUCCAGACAAUCACAGCCCUCAUUAAGCCCUUCCUGUUUGCACUCUCAUUUCCUACAUAAAUUCCUAUCAAGGUUACCAGCCCUCCCCAGUUUAUUCCUUUCUCUCUUUCCCAGCCAUGGCCUCUCAGCCACCAGUCACCUCUUCCCCCAACCCCCUGACCUCCCACUUCUCUUCUCAAUUCAACUGCUCUUCAGGAUUUCUGGUUGCACUACCUCUGGAGACAAGACUCUAGCAUUUGUUCUUGGAGACCGAGAUCUUCCUCUUCCCUGAGUCCCCUACCAAUGAUUCUCUCCCUCUUGUGGGUUUCUGCAGGGCUAGCAGUGCAUCCAUCAAACCAUUAGGGCCUCCAUGUGGAGAGGCCAGUUGGCUCCCUUUUUAGGAAGCUCUGCCCUUCCCUUCCAGCAGACCCAGAGUGGAAAGGGCCCAGGGUCCCUGCCUUAAGCUUUGUCAAGGGUGCCAUAUGUCAAGGGUGCCAUAUGAUGUUUUGUCUUGGGCCCAAGGGGCCUCAAACUGUAAGGAAAAACCCUCUCUGAUGGUUUCCUGGCUCAGACUUCUGCAAUUAACAGGACUUCUGCAACUAACCACCUUCUUGUCUGCCCACAUACAUGAUACUGACCUUCUUUUAUUCUCUCCUCUGUACAGAGUUACCUGACCCUCAGGAAGAUUUAGGCUUUUUUUUUUUCUCCCAUCUCACCUUGUAUAAAUAUGUCUUCUCAGUAUAGUAAUGUCAUUGGAUUGAGGAUACUUGUUUGCAGAGGAGGCAAGAAUGCGUUGUUCCGUUUUUGAAUUCCACACAUCUAAUAUGGAGCCUGAGCCACAGGGCUCAAAAUGUUAAGUAAACAAAUGAAUGGGAAAUUAAUAAGAAGAAUGCAUUGGCAAGACCGUGAAGAAGGCCUGCCAUGGGAAGCUUUGGGAAGAAGCCAGCUGCCAUGUUGUGAGAACUCUCAAGCAGCUGUGUGGAGAGAUCCAUGUGGUGAGGAACUGAAGCCUCCUACCCACCAUCAAGUCAGUGGCUCACUACUGUUGCAGUGAAUUCUCCAGCCCAUGAAGACUUUAGAUGAUUUACCCAACAUCUUGAUUAUAGCCUCAUGGAUUCCCUGAGCCAGAACAACCCAGCUAAGCCUCUCCUGAAUUCCUUACCUACAGAAACUGUGAGAUAAUAAAUAUUUAUUCUUUUAAGCCAUCAAAUUUUGGGUAAUUUAUUAUGCAGUAAUAUGUAACUAAUAUAGAUAAAAAUAUUCAGUUUGAAGGAAAGAAGAAAAAUAACUUACAAUAAACUCAAGAAAUAAAAUAAAAU